AGGCGGGCGCGGCUGAGGUGAGCGGACCAUGGGAGGCGGGUUGACUGCGCCCAAGGUCUUUGCAGGCCUCGGCGGGCCCCGGAGGAAGGGAGACCGGGCGAGGGGUUUAAUGAGUGUUACGCGCGACAUGGCGGCGAAGCACAAGAACCCAGGCGCCCCAGCGUUUACAGGGAAGAGGGCGGGGCUAGUCGCGGCCUUGAUAACUACUAGAACGCCUCGGGCUGUGCGGCUCGAGACUACAUUUCCCAGGGGUCCCGGCGCAGAGCGGGCCGGAAAGAGAGCGCCUCCGGUCCAGUGCGCAGGUGCAGGAGCCGUAUCUGGCUAUAUAAAGGAGGUUCAGGCGCCCCUCGUUCUUUUGCGUCUGCGGUGCUAGCAGAGCGGUGGUUCUGUGGGUUGCAGCCACGCUUCAUACACCAUCGUCUUGCUCGUGGGUUCCCGUUUUGUGUGUGGUUUGCUGUUGGCCAAAACCAGGCUUUGAUUGGACCAGGAUGAAUCUGGUUGUGGGAAAUAGAGUAUAUAUGUAACUGGUAA
RNA transcript from Sapajus apella (tufted capuchin), 531 nucleotides. RefSeq lists it as uncharacterized. The record is from RefSeq and is a predicted model, not a curated record. NCBI's taxonomy places the organism in Eukaryota, Metazoa, Chordata, Mammalia, Primates, Cebidae. The transcript has 2 exons.